AGAGUUUGAUCCUGGCUCAGAACGAACGCUGGCGGCAUGCCUAACACAUGCAAGUCGAACGGAGGCCCGGCUUCGGCCGGUCACCUCAGUGGCGGACGGGUGAGUAACGCGUGGGAACCUGCCCUUUAGUCGGGAAUAACAGAGGGAAACUUCUGCUAAUGCCGGAUACGCCCUCCGGGGGAAAGGCUUCGGCCGCUAAAGGAUGGGCCCGCGUCGGAUUAGGUUGUUGGUGGGGUAACGGCUCACCAAGCCGACGAUCCGUAGCUGGUCUGAGAGGAUGAUCAGCCACACUGGGACUGAGACACGGCCCAGACUCCUACGGGAGGCAGCAGUGGGGAAUAUUGGACAAUGGGGGAAACCCUGAUCCAGCAAUGCCGCGUGGGUGAAGAAGGCCUUAGGGUUGUAAAGCCCUUUCACCGGGGAAGAUAAUGACGGUACCCGGAGAAGAAGCCCCGGCUAACUCCGUGCCAGCAGCCGCGGUAAUACGGAGGGGGCUAGCGUUGUUCGGAAUUACUGGGCGUAAAGCGCGCGUAGGCGGUUUGUUAAGUUGGGCGUGAAAGCCCGGGGCUCAACCCCGGAACUGCGCUCAAAACUGAUAGACUCGAGACCGGAAGAGGGUAGCGGAAUUCCCAGUGUAGAGGUGAAAUUC
Molecule: ribosomal RNA, 649 nt
Filed under: uncultured bacterium
Lineage: Bacteria
Description: bacterial SSU rRNA
Rfam family: Bacterial small subunit ribosomal RNA
Source: RNAcentral